Molecule: long non-coding RNA, 2034 nt
Filed under: Prunus persica (peach)
Lineage: Eukaryota; Viridiplantae; Streptophyta; Magnoliopsida; Rosales; Rosaceae
Description: long non-coding RNA (PPER_LNC006336)
Source: RNAcentral
AGAAGGAGAAAUUCAUUUAUAAAACCACAGACGUAUAAAGAGCGACAUGUCAUGGACUAACAGGAGAGUCCAAUUCAGGUCACGUUGGACCAUUACAAUAAAAGAACAAGUCAAAAACAAAAUCUAACACAAAUACUUCCGAUGAGAACCGCAACUAGAGGCUAACACAGUAGACCCACAUGAGAGGACCGUAGAAACCCCAAAUAGUAACUCACAUGAGAGGACUGCAGAACAUCUCAAUUGUCAAAAGAAGCCUUCUAUGAGCAAAAUCAUAGUCUUUUGACACCCAUACAAACUGUAAGUCAUACCAUAACAGAAGCUAGGAGAGAACACGGAGGACGAACACAGAAACAAUAGUAAAGAGACCCAUGAGAAGCACUUCACUUUAACUCAGAACCUGACAAAGAAAACUUCCUAUGACCAAGCAUAGUUCUUCGGUUGGCGCAGAGUAAAGAAGAGCACUACAUCCCAACAAUUACCACCAAUGUAGCUGUUGCCGCCGCCGUUAAAACAGAAACAAAACAUCAGCCACCAGGUAUGACAACUCUCCCAAGGAGAGACACAAUCCAGUGUCAUUACUGUAGCCGCCGCCGAGACAAAGACAACACCAGUCACCUGGAAUAUUGCAAAAACAACCAAACAAAAUAAACAGACAAACAGAUCUAGACUAUUUGGGGAGGGGAAGGGGAGGAGAAAAAGGGAUAAGAGGAAAGGAAAAUAUGGGAGAAAAAGAAAGGGAGAUGAGGAGAGGAAGGGGAAGAUGAGCGGAGGGGAGGAGGUGCAGUGGCCACCUCCCCCCUUAGCUUCCUCGCGGUUGGUUGUUAGCAAAAAGAAAGGGGAUAAGAGUGCGGCUAGGGUUUUGCCAAUUCCAUAUAGUUAAGUAAACAACUUCAAUAGGAAUCCAAAAUCUAAUUCUCCUCAAUCCAACUCCUCCUCAAUUCAAUUCCUCAUGAUCCAAUUACGGAUUAAUAAACAUACCAUCAAUGUUUUGUUUUGUUAUUUUAAAUAUUUUAUUCAACUUUAAAUAAUUUUAAAAAAAAAAAAAAAUUCCCACGUGUGCCACCACCUUGCAUGUUGCAACACAUUUUCAAGCACACCUUGCAAGUUGUAACACAUUUUCAAGAUGAAAUAUUUUGUUAUAAAAACUGAAAACAUGUCUUAAGUGUGCAAGUCAUUUCGGGUAUCUCAAAACAACAUAUAACCAAGGUCUUUGUUUUGUUUUUUUAAACCUGAAAAGCAAAGGUCGAGGUUUAAUAUUGAUUCUUGACUAGUUGGACUCAUCCCAAAUUAAAAAGAAAAAAAAAAAAAAAAGAGUAGAACAUCUUGACUAGUCACACAAGUUGAACCAGUGCUUGCUUUGCCUUGCCUGCUUGAAUUUUUGUACUCACCUCCUUGCACACCCACUGCCUAAAUUAGGUAGGCAUGUGCUGUUGAAUUAUAGUCAUGUUUGUCAGCAUGACAAUUACCCUUCAGCAUGGAUCUACAUAAUUAUAUGGUUGCCUAGUCUAAUCAAUCAAAAUUUGUACUCAACAAAAUAUAAGAUGAAAAUUAAAUCACCUGACCUAGAGAGUUUAUCAUUUCAGUAUUAAACAUUUACUUUCAUACUUACUAUUUGUACUUCAACUUAAUUUUUUUUUCCGACACCAACUAGCUCUUCAUGUGCAAACGUGAGUUAAGCGAAUUGGCUACAAUAAUGCGCCCGAUCCUUUACACAUAAGUUCGAAUUUCCGUAUUUAUCAAUUAGAGUUGUUUAGAUUAUCGUUUUAUACAAAGAAUAUUAGGGAUAAGAAUUAAGCACAUGACUCUAACUAAAACUCAGAAAUUGAAGAUGAGAAAUUGAUAUUAGGGAUAGGGAUAGAGUUUGUGCUCCUAAGUGCUCAAUUACUUCAGCUCCAUCCAAACCCUUACGAGUCGACAAGUUGUAACUUAAAUGACCUGAAUAUACCAUCUGCCAACACCUUGCACAACCUAACCUCAAGUCCCAGUCAAUACUCAACUCCAUCCAUUUUCCCACCAACCCCAAGGGACCCCCCU